GUGCUUAACACAUGCAAGUCGAACGGUGAAGCAGGAGCUUGCUCUUGUGGAUCAGUGGCGAACGGGUGAGUAACACGUGAGCAACCUGCCCCUGACUCUGGGAUAAGCGCUGGAAACGGCGUCUAAUACUGGAUAUGUGACGUGACCGCAUGGUCUGCGUUUGGAAAGAUUUUUCGGUUGGGGAUGGGCUCGCGGCCUAUCAGCUUGUUGGUGAGGUAAUGGCUCACCAAGGCGUCGACGGGUAGCCGGCCUGAGAGGGUGACCGGCCACACUGGGACUGAGACACGGCCCAGACUCCUACGGGAGGCAGCAGUGGGGAAUAUUGCACAAUGGGCGAAAGCCUGAUGCAGCAACGCCGCGUGAGGGAUGACGGCCUUCGGGUUGUAAACCUCUUUUAGCAGGGAAGAAGCGAAAGUGACGGUACCUGCAGAAAAAGCGCCGGCUAACUACGUGCCAGCAGCCGCGGUAAUACGUAGGGCGCAAGCGUUAUCCGGAAUUAUUGGGCGUAAAGAGCUCGUAGGCGGUUUGUCGCGUCUGCUGUGAAAUCCCGAGGCUCAACCUCGGGCCUGCAGUGGGUACGGGCAGACUAGAGUGCGGUAGGGGAGAUUGGAAUUCCUGGUGUAGCGGUGGAAUGCGCAGAUAUCAGGAGGAACACCGAUGGCGAAGGCAGAUCUCUGGGCCGUAACUGACGCUGAGGAGCG
This 701-nucleotide ribosomal RNA is filed under the name Microbacterium sp. F873. RNAcentral describes it as "bacterial SSU rRNA". It matches the Rfam family "Bacterial small subunit ribosomal RNA", at positions 44 to 755 of the family's 1533-position model. The record is from RNAcentral. Lineage: Bacteria; Bacillati; Actinomycetota; Actinomycetes; Micrococcales; Microbacteriaceae.